CCUCCAUCCGUGUCUAUUGUACCCUGUUGCUUCGGCGGGCCCGCCGCUUGUCGGCCGCCGGGGGGGCGCCUCUGCCCCCCGGGCCCGUGCCCGCCGGAGACCCCAACACGAACACUGUCUGAAAGCGUGCAGUCUGAGUUGAUUGAAUGCAAUCAGUUAAAACUUUCAACAAUGGAUCUCUUGGUUCCGGCAUCGAUGAAGAACGCAGCGAAAUGCGAUAACUAAUGUGAAUUGCAGAAUUCAGUGAAUCAUCGAGUCUUUGAACGCACAUUGCGCCCCCUGGUAUUCCGGGGGGCAUGCCUGUCCGAGCGUCAUUGCUGCCCUCAAGCCCGGCUUGUGUGUUGGGUCGCCGUCCCCCUCUCCGGGGGGACGGGCCCGAAAGGCAGCGGCGGCACCGCGUCCGAUCCUCGAGCGUAUGGGGCUUUGUCACAUGCUCUGUAGGAUUGGCCGGCGCCUGCCGACGUUUUCCAACCAUUCUUUCCAGGUUGACCUCGGAUCAGGUAGGGAU
This 508-nucleotide ribosomal RNA is filed under the name Aspergillus niger. RNAcentral's name for it is "eukaryotic LSU rRNA". The stretch from base 161 to 314 matches the Rfam family "5.8S ribosomal RNA". The record is from RNAcentral. Lineage: Eukaryota; Fungi; Ascomycota; Eurotiomycetes; Eurotiales; Aspergillaceae.